GACGAACGCUGGCGGCGUGCUUAACACAUGCAAGUCGAACGGAAAGGCCCUGCUUUUGUGGGGUGCUCGAGUGGCGAACGGGUGAGUAACACGUGAGUAACCUGCCCUUGACUUUGGGAUAACUUCAGGAAACUGGGGCUAAUACCGGAUAGGAGCUCCUGCUGCAUGGUGGGGGUUGGAAAGUUUCGGCGGUUGGGGAUGGACUCGCGGCUUAUCAGCUUGUUGGUGGGGUAGUGGCUUACCAAGGCUUUGACGGGUAGCCGGCCUGAGAGGGUGACCGGCCACAUGGGGACUGGGGUACGGCCCAGACUCCUACGGGAGGCAGCAGGGGGGAUUAUUGCAGAAUGGGCGGAAGCCUGAUGCAGCAACGCCGCGUGCGGGAUGACGGCCUUCGGGUUGUAAACCGCUUUCGCCGGUGACGAGGCGUGAGUGACGGUAAUGGGUAAAGAAGCACCGGCUAACUACGUA
Molecule: ribosomal RNA, 468 nt
Filed under: uncultured bacterium
Lineage: Bacteria
Description: partial 16S ribosomal RNA
Rfam family: Bacterial small subunit ribosomal RNA
Source: RNAcentral